UACAGAGGUCCCGAGCGUUGUUCGGAUUUACUGGGCGUAAAGGGUGCGUAGGUGGUAGGGUAAGUUUGAUGUGAAAUCUCCGGGCUUAACCCGGAAAAUGCAUUGAAUACUAUCUUGCUAGAGAGUUGUAGGGGGGACUGGAAUUCUCGGUGUAGCAGUGAAAUGCGUAGAUAUCGAGAGGAACACCAGUGGCGAAGGCGAGUCCCUGGACAACUUCUGACACUGAGGCACGAAAGCUAGGGGAGCAAACAGGAUUAGAUACCCUGGUAGUCCUAGCCCUAAACGGUGCACAUUUGCUGUGAGCGGAUUCGACCCCGCUCGUGGCGAAGCUAACGCGUUAAAUGUGCCGCCUGGGAAGUACGGUCGCAAGAUUA
This 374-nucleotide ribosomal RNA is filed under the name uncultured prokaryote. RNAcentral's name for it is "bacterial SSU rRNA". It matches the Rfam family "Bacterial small subunit ribosomal RNA", at positions 524 to 896 of the family's 1533-position model. The record is from RNAcentral.